Molecule: ribosomal RNA, 305 nt
Filed under: uncultured bacterium
Lineage: Bacteria
Description: partial 16S ribosomal RNA
Rfam family: Bacterial small subunit ribosomal RNA
Source: RNAcentral
ACAGCAGUAGCCGCGGUAAUACAGAGGGUGCAAGCGUUAAUUGGAAUUACUGGGCGUAAAGCGCGCGUAGGUGGUUUGUUAAGUUGGAUGUGAAAUCCCCGGGCUCAACCUGGGAACUGCAUCCAAAACUGGCAAGCUAGAGUAUGGUAGAGGGUGGUGGAAUUUCCUGUGUAGCGGUGAAAUGCGUAGAUAUAGGAAGGAACACCAGUGGCGAAGGCGACCACCUGGACUGAUACUGACACUGAGGUGCGAAAGCGUGGGGAGCAAACAGGAUUAGAUACCCCAGUAGUCCCUGUCUCUUAUAC